GCCUGGACCCAAUUCUGCUCUUUUAUAAAAUUAUCUUGGCCAUUCUGGCCCAUUUGUUCUUCCAAAUGAAUUCUAGAAUCAAGUUGAAUGUUAUGUGAAGACACUCAACUGGAGUUUUAUUGAAAUCAUAUUGAAUCCAUGGAUUUUAUUUGGGAGAAGUGAUAACAAGUAUGCCAUCAAUGAAGAAGACAAGGAUUACUCUCUGAUUUCUGCUGGAGCAUCUUCUGGAGUUCCAAAUGGGAUGAUCUGGGACAAAGAUCACAGCAAUAUUCAAUCCAUUCUGCUAGCAGUCCUGGGAUUUGUGCUCUGUGGUACGCGUUGCUGAUGAAAACAAUGUCAAAAGGAACCCACAGCAGGCUUUCUGUCCUUGGCUCCAGGCAAUAGUUCCCCCUUGUAAAUGAAUUCCUGUGGCUACCACGUCAAUCUCCUAGGUAUUGCUUUGGCACACUCAAAGAAUAUAAUCUUACAGAAUUCUUUCAAGAACCACCUUAGUUGUGUACAUAAGGGCCAAGUGUCUAGUAACUUGCUCAGGACCCAUGGAGUUAGCAAGUGACAUAAUCAAGAUUUGAAUCCAGGACUCCUGCACUGUUAUCCUGCCCAGCCACUAAUUAUAAGGUUUGAUAUUACUACCUUUUCUCUUACUCUGAACAACCUGGGACUUUGAAGACAAUGUCAUUUUAGGAAAGUUUCUAAAAAAAAAAUAAAAAAGGAAAGUUUCUAAAC
Molecule: long non-coding RNA, 723 nt
Filed under: Vulpes vulpes (red fox)
Lineage: Eukaryota; Metazoa; Chordata; Mammalia; Carnivora; Canidae
Description: lncRNA (ENSVVUG00000002693.1)
Source: RNAcentral